UACAGAGGAUGCAAGCGUUAUCCGGAAUGAUUGGGCGUAAAGCGUCUGUAGGUGGCUUUUUAAGUCCGCCGUCAAAUCCCAGGGCUCAACUCUGGACAGGCGGUGGAAACUACCAAGCUGGAGUACGGUAGGGGCAGAGGGAAUUUCCGGUGGAGCGGUGAAAUGCGUAGAGAUCGGAAAGAACACCAAGCGGCAGAAGCACUCUGCUGGGCCGACACUGACACUGAGAGACGAAAGCUAGGGGAGCGAAUGGG
This 254-nucleotide ribosomal RNA is filed under the name uncultured bacterium. Its description in RNAcentral is "partial 16S ribosomal RNA". It matches the Rfam family "Bacterial small subunit ribosomal RNA", at positions 524 to 776 of the family's 1533-position model. The record is from RNAcentral.